GCGCCUGUAGCUCAGUUGGAUAGAGCGGUUGCCUUCGAAGCAAUAGGUCACAGGUUCGAGUCCUGUCAGGCGCA
This 74-nucleotide transfer RNA is filed under the name Candidatus Abzuiibacterium crystallinum. RNAcentral's name for it is "Candidatus Omnitrophica bacterium CG11_big_fil_rev_8_21_14_0_20_45_26 tRNA-Arg". It matches the Rfam family "tRNA". Rfam says of the family: Transfer RNA (tRNA) molecules are approximately 80 nucleotides in length. Their secondary structure includes four short double-helical elements and three loops (D, anti-codon, and T loops). Lineage: Bacteria; Pseudomonadati; Candidatus Omnitrophota. The record is from RNAcentral. RNAcentral also lists the same sequence under 1 other name.